GUCUCGGUGGCGCAAUUGGUAAGCGUGAUCCCAGACAAUUUUCAAUCGUGAGGUUGAGAGUUCGAUCCUCUCCCGGGACG
This is a non-coding RNA of Aspergillus tubingensis, 80 nucleotides long. Lineage: Eukaryota; Fungi; Ascomycota; Eurotiomycetes; Eurotiales; Aspergillaceae. The record is from the annotation of a RefSeq genome assembly.